GGCGGCGUGCUUAACACAUGCAAGUCGAACGGAAAGGCCCUGCUUUUGUGGGGUGCUCGAGUGGCGAACGGGUGAGUAACACGUGAGUAACCUGCCCUUGACUUUGGGAUAACUUCAGGAAACUGGGGCUAAUACCGGAUAGGAGCUCCUGUUGCAUGGUGGGGGUUGGAAAGUUUCGGCGGUUGGGGAUGGACUCGCGGCUUAUCAGCUUGUUGGUGGGGUAGUGGCUUACCAAGGCUUUGACGGGUAGCCGGCCUGAGAGGGUGACCGGCCACAUUGGGACUGAGAUACGGCCCAGACUCCUACGGGAGGCAGCAGUGGGGAAUAUUGCACAAUGGGCGGAAGCCUGAUGCAGCAACGCCGCGUGCGGGAUGACGGCCUUCGGGUUGUAAACCGCUUUCGCCUGUGACGAAGCGUGAGUGACGGUAAUGGGUAAAGAAGCACCGGCUAACUACGUGCCAGCAGCCGCGGUGAUACGUAGGGUGCGAGCGUUGUCCGGAUUUAUUGGGCGUAAAGGGCUCGUAGGUGGUUGAUCGCGUCGGAAGUGUAAUCUUGGGGCUUAACCCUGAGCGUGCUUUCGAUACGGGUUGACUUGAGGAAGGUAGGGGAGAAUGGAAUUCCUGGUGGAGCGGUGGAAUGCGCAGAUAUCAGGAGGAACACCAGUGGCGAAGGCGGUUCUCUGGGCCUUUCCUGACGCUGAGGAGCGAAAGCGUGGGGAGCGAACAGGCUUAGAUACCCUGGUAGUCCACGCUGUAAACGGUGGGUACUAGGUGUGGGGUCCAUUCCACGGGUUCCGUGCCGUAGCUAACGCUUUAAGUACCCCGCCUGGGGAGUACGGCCGCAAGGCUAAAACUCAAAGGAAUUGACGGGGCCCCGCACAAGCGGCGGAGCAUGCGGAUUAAUUCGAUGCAACGCGUAGAACCUUACCUGGGUUUGACAUGGAUCGGGAGCGCUCAGAGAUGGGUGUGCCUCUUUUGGGGUCGGUUCACAGGUGGUGCAUGGCUGUCGUCAGCUCGUGUCGUGAGAUGUUGGGUUAAGUCCCGCAACGAGCGCAACCCUUGUUCACUGUUGCCAGCACGUUAUGGUGGGGACUCAGUGGAGACCGCCGGGGUCAACUCGGAGGAAGGUGGGGAUGACGUCAAGUCAUCAUGCCCCUUAUGUCCAGGGCUUCACGCAUGCUACAAUGGCUGGUACAGAGAGUGGCGAGCCUGUGAGGGUGAGCGAAUCUCGGAAAGCCGGUCUCAGUUCGGAUUGGGGUCUGCAACUCGACCUCAUGAAGUCGGAGUCGCUAGUAAUCGCAGAUCAGCAACGCUGCGGUGAAUACGUUCCCGGGGCUUGUACACACCGCCCGUCAAGUCAUGAAAGUUGGUAACACCCGAAGCCGGUGGCCUAACCGUCGUGGGGGAGCCGUCGAAGGUGGGACUGGUGAUUAGGACU
Molecule: ribosomal RNA, 1437 nt
Filed under: uncultured organism
Description: SSU rRNA
Rfam family: Bacterial small subunit ribosomal RNA
Source: RNAcentral